RNAcentral lists this microRNA precursor (91 nucleotides) under Tursiops truncatus (common bottlenose dolphin). RNAcentral describes it as "miRNA (ENSTTRG00000024868.1)". The record is from RNAcentral. Lineage: Eukaryota; Metazoa; Chordata; Mammalia; Artiodactyla; Delphinidae.
AUCACUUGGGUCUCUUGUUAAAAUGCAGAUUCAGUAGGUCUGGAUGGGGUCUGAGAUUCUGCAUUUCUAACAAGCUCUGGGUGAUGCUACU